RNAcentral lists this ribosomal RNA (443 nucleotides) under uncultured bacterium. RNAcentral's name for it is "partial 16S ribosomal RNA". It matches the Rfam family "Bacterial small subunit ribosomal RNA", at positions 338 to 795 of the family's 1533-position model. The record is from RNAcentral.
CCUACGAGGGGCUGCAGUGGGGAAUAUUGGGCAAUGGAGGAAACUCUGACACAGCAACGCCGCGUGAAUGAUGACGGUCUUCGGAUUGUAAAGUUCUUUUCUUAGGGAAGAAGAAAGUGACGGUACCUUAGGAAUAAGCCUCGGCUAACUACGUGCCAGCAGCCGCGGUAUUACGUAGGAGGCAAGCGUUAUCCGGAAUGACUGGGCGUAAAGGGUGCGUAGGUGGUUUGAUAAGUUGGUAGCGUAACUCCGAGGCUCAACCUCGGCACUACUACCAAAACUGUCGGACUUGAGUGCAGGAGGGGCAACUGGAAUUCAUAGUGUAGCGGUGGAAUGCGUAGAUAUUAGGAGGAACACCAGUGGCGAAGGCGAGUUGCUGGACUGUAACUGACACUGAGGCACGAAAGCGUGGGGAGCAAACAGGAUUAGAUACCCCAGUAGUC